RNAcentral lists this small RNA (624 nucleotides) under Histoplasma capsulatum var. duboisii H88. Its description in RNAcentral is "Histoplasma capsulatum H88 hypothetical RNA". Lineage: Eukaryota; Fungi; Ascomycota; Eurotiomycetes; Onygenales; Ajellomycetaceae. The record is from RNAcentral.
UGUGCUAUAGCCGGGUAUCGUCAAGGUUUUGAACCAUUUGGAAUCGAGAAAUGUGUGUAGAGAUAUAUCACUUCAUGCUCUGCACUCAAUUACCACAGCUAAUGGCAGCCGGCGAAUUUUGCAUGCUGUAAUUCUAUACCCCUUUCUAUUCUCUUUUUUUUUCGACUCUUCUGCCUUCUUACUUGCUUUCACACUUAUCAUGUUGCUUUUGCACUUAUCAUGAUGCGGACACAUCCAUGAGUCAUCCAGUUACUAUUCUGUUUUCUUCUUCAGCUUUAACUUUGUGCUUUACCCUUUCUAUACUUACUCUUAAUAUUCUAUAUUGUUAAUUCCCCUAGCGAGCGAAUGGCCCAGCAAAUUGCCCUCUAGGGAUAAGUGGAUCCUACAAAGCUGCGAUUUUUUUAUGAACACGAUGAUGAUGGCGUCUGUAUCUUUGUCUGUGUCUGUGUGUCUGUCUGUACGCAUGGUAUGCAUGCUCAUGCGAUUAGUUAAUAUUUGUUACAUCGUGUAGUUUAAAAACAUAUAUCUAAUCCUGUGCGAUGAGAAGUCGACUUUGUCAAGUAGGUUGAUUCAUGUACUCCCAACUUUCACGCUUCAUAUAUAUAAUAUAUAUUUAUACACCAC